UGGCGGACGGGUGAGUAACGCGUGAGCAACCUGCCCUUCGGAGGGGGAUAGUGUCUGGAAACGGACAGUAAUACCGCAUAACGUAUUUUUACCGCAUGAUAGAAAUACCAAAACUGAGGUGCCGAAGGAUGGGCUCGCGUUGGAUUAGAUAGUUGGUGGGGUAACGGCCUACCAAGUCGACGAUCCAUAGCCGGACUGAGAGGUUGAACGGCCACAUUGGGACUGAGGCACGGCCCAGACUCCUACGGAAGGCAGCAG
Molecule: ribosomal RNA, 258 nt
Filed under: uncultured bacterium
Lineage: Bacteria
Description: partial 16S ribosomal RNA
Rfam family: Bacterial small subunit ribosomal RNA
Source: RNAcentral